AGAGUUUGAUCCUGGCUCAGAACGAACGCUGGCGGCGUGCUUAACACAUGCAAGUCGAACGAGAACGGUUUUCUUCGGAGGACCUAUUAAAGUGGCGCACGGGUGAGUAACACGUAGAUAAUCUACCCAGGUGUUUGGAAUAACUGACCGAAAGGUUAGCUAAUACCGAAUACGUUCACAUCAUCGCAAGGUGGCGUGAAGAAAGAUGGCCUCUCCUUGGAAGCUAUCGCAUUUGGAUGAGUUUGCGUACCAUUAGCUAGUUGGUGGGGUAAAGGCCUACCAAGGCUACGAUGGUUAGCGGGUCUGAGAGGAUGAUCCGCCACACUGGAACUGGAACACGGACCAGACUCCUACGGGAGGCAGCAGUGAGGAAUUUUGCGCAAUGGGGGAAACCCUGACGCAGCGACGCCGCGUGGACGAUGAAGGCCUUCGGGUUGUAAAGUCCUGUCAGUAGGGAAGAAAUGUGUAUGUGUUAAUAUCACAUACAUUUGACGGUACCUACAAAGGAAGCACCGGCUAACUCCGUGCCAGCAGCCGCGGUAAUACGGAGGGUGCAAGCGUUGUUCGGAAUUACUGGGCGUAGAGGGCGCGUAGGCGGCCUGAUAAGUCAGAUGUGAAAGCCCACGGCUCAACCGUGGAAGGGCAUCUGAAACUAUCAAGCUUGAUUAUGGGAGAGGAAAGUGGAAUUCCCGGUGUAGAGGUGAAAUUCGUAGAUAUCGGGAGGAACACCAGUGGCGAAGGCGACUUUCUGGACCAAUACUGACGCUGAGGCGCGAAAGCGUGGGUAGCAAACAGGAUUAGAUACCCUGGUAGUCCACAGCUGUAAACGAUGUACACUAGGUGUUGGGGGUGUUGACCCCUCCAGCGCCGCAGCUAACGCAUUAAGUGUACCGCCUGGGGAGUACGGUCGCAAGAUUAAAACUCAAAGGAAUUGACGGGGGCCCGCACAAGCGGUGGAGUAUGUGGUUUAAUUCGAUGCAACGCGCAGAACCUUACCUAGUCUUGACAUCCCGAGAAUAUCUAAGAAAUUAGAAGGUGCUUCCUUACGGAAGAACUCGGUGACAGGUGCUGCAUGGCUGUCGUCAGCUCGUGUCGUGAGAUGUUGGGUUAAGUCCCGCAACGAGCGCAACCCACGUCUUUAGUUGCCAUCAUUAAGUUGGGCACUCUAGAGAGACUGCCGGUGUCAAACCGGAGGAAGGUGUGGAUGACGUCAAGUCC
Molecule: ribosomal RNA, 1218 nt
Filed under: metagenome
Description: bacterial SSU rRNA
Rfam family: Bacterial small subunit ribosomal RNA
Source: RNAcentral